Molecule: ribosomal RNA, 495 nt
Filed under: uncultured bacterium
Lineage: Bacteria
Description: bacterial SSU rRNA
Rfam family: Bacterial small subunit ribosomal RNA
Source: RNAcentral
CGAAAGGGGCUUCGGCCCUGAGUAGAGUGGCGAACGGGUGAGUAACACGUGGGUGAUCUACCUCUGGGUGGGGGAUAACGUUCCGAAAGGAGCGCUAAUACCGCAUGACGUUCCGGGUUUGAAGACCUGGUAACCAAAGUCGGGGACCGCAAGGCCUGACGCUUAGAGAGGAGCCCGCGCCUGAUUAGCUAGUUGGUGAGGUAACGGCUCACCAAGGCAACGAUCAGUAGCCGGCCUGAGAGGGCGGACGGCCACACUGGGACUGAGACACGGCCCAGACUCCUACGGGAGGCAGCAGUGGGGAAUUGUUCGCAAUGGGCGCAAGCCUGACGACGCAACGCCGCGUGGAGGAUGAAGGUCUUCGGAUUGUAAACUCCUGUUGAUCGGGAAGAAUGGCCUCCGGGUUAAUACUCCGGAGGAAUGACGGUACCGAUUGAGGAAGCCACGGCUAACUCUGUGCCAGCAGCCGCGGUAAUACAGAGGUGGCAAGCGUUG